This 71-nucleotide transfer RNA is filed under the name Indotyphlus maharashtraensis. RNAcentral's name for it is "tRNA-Ile". Lineage: Eukaryota; Metazoa; Chordata; Amphibia; Gymnophiona; Indotyphlidae. The record is from RNAcentral.
GGAUGCGUGCCCGAAAUUUAAGGUUUACUUUGAUAGAGUAAAAUAUAAGAGUUAAAACCUCUUCGCAUCUU